RNAcentral lists this ribosomal RNA (451 nucleotides) under uncultured Hyphomicrobium sp. RNAcentral describes it as "bacterial SSU rRNA". It matches the Rfam family "Bacterial small subunit ribosomal RNA", at positions 91 to 578 of the family's 1533-position model. Lineage: Bacteria; Pseudomonadati; Pseudomonadota; Alphaproteobacteria; Hyphomicrobiales; Hyphomicrobiaceae. The record is from RNAcentral.
GGGAGUGGCAGACGGGUGAGUAACACGUGGGAACCUUCCCUAUAGUACGGAAUAGCCCAGGGAAACUUGGAGUAAUACCGUAUACGCCCGAAAGGGGAAAGAAUUUCGCUAUAGGAUGGGCCCGCGCAGGAUUAGCUAGUUGGUGAGGUAAUGGCUCACCAAGGCGACGAUCCUUAGCUGGUUUGAGAGAACGACCAGCCACACUGGGACUGAGACACGGCCCAGACUCCUACGGGAGGCAGCAGUGGGGAAUAUUGGACAAUGGGCGCAAGCCUGAUCCAGCCAUGCCGCGUGAGUGAUGAAGGCCUUAGGGUUGUAAAGCUCUUUUGGCGGGGACGAUAAUGACGGUACCCGCAGAAUAAGUCCCGGCUAACUUCGUGCCAGCAGCCGCGGUAAUACGAAGGGGACUAGCGUUGUUCGGAAUCACUGGGCGUAAAGCGCACGUAGGCGG